Non-coding RNA from Oryzias latipes (Japanese medaka), 241 nucleotides. The record is from RefSeq and is a predicted model, not a curated record. Lineage: Eukaryota; Metazoa; Chordata; Actinopteri; Beloniformes; Adrianichthyidae.
GUGACAUCAGGCAAUACAACUCUCUGGCAGGGCAUCUUACAAAUCUUGUACCUGAAGAUGGCAGACAACAACUAUGCAGACUUGGCCUUCUUCAGUGACGCUGUGAACGUGUAUGGCUUUCCUCUGAGGGUGAGAGGCGAUCACGGAAGAGAACAUGCGGGCAUAGCAGAGUUAAUGCUCACAGUACGUAGAACUGACACAAACAGCUUCAUUACAGCAAAAGUGUACACACAAUCAACGG